This 326-nucleotide ribosomal RNA is filed under the name uncultured Allapsidae. Its description in RNAcentral is "SSU rRNA". The stretch from base 56 to 326 matches the Rfam family "Eukaryotic small subunit ribosomal RNA", at positions 684 to 955 of the family's 1831-position model. Lineage: Eukaryota; Cercozoa; Glissomonadida; Viridiraptoridae. The record is from RNAcentral.
GAUUUCUGGCUUGAUGUACCUGUCCCUCUUGGGUUAACCAGGCUGUGUGACGGAGUAUGUCUGCCAUCCUUCUAGAGAAUACAAGCUAUCCUUUACUGGACCGGUUUGUGUCAUCUAGAUCUUUUACUUUGAAAAAAUUAGAGUGUUUCAAGCAGGCGUUUUGCUAUGAAUACAUUAGCAUGGAAUAAUGAGUUAGGACUUCGGUUCUAUUUUGUUGGUUUCUAGGACUGAAGUAAUGAUUGAUAGGGAUAGUUGGGGGUGCUAGUAUUCCGCGGCCAGAGGUGAAAUUCUUGGAUUCGCGGAAGACUAACUACUGCGAAAGCAUU